This 774-nucleotide ribosomal RNA is filed under the name uncultured Neocallimastigales. RNAcentral describes it as "partial large subunit ribosomal RNA". It matches the Rfam family "Eukaryotic large subunit ribosomal RNA", at positions 26 to 644 of the family's 3401-position model. Lineage: Eukaryota; Fungi; Neocallimastigomycota; Neocallimastigomycetes; Neocallimastigales. The record is from RNAcentral.
CGCAUCUGUGCAUGCAGCAUAUCAAUAAGCGGAGGAAAGAAACUAACAAGGAUUCUCUUAGUAACGGCGGAGUGAAGCGGGAAGAGCUCAAAUUUGAAAUCUUCAAGGUUUUACCUUGACGAAUUGUAGUUUAAAGAAGUGUUUUCUGUUGAAGUUUUGGUAAAAGUUCUUUGGAAUAGGACAUCAUAGAGGGUGAGAAUCCCGUAUUUGACCAUUAUUUUCAGCUGUGUGAUACACUUUCAAAGAGUCGGAUUGUUUGGGAAUGCAGUCCAAAAUGGGUGGUAAAUUUCAUCUAAAGCUAAAUAUUGGCGAGAGACCGAUAGCGAACAAGUACCGUGAGGGAAAGAUGAAAAGAACUUUGAAAAGAGAGUUAAACAGUACGUGAAAUUGUCAAAAGGGAAGCGUUUGACACCAGUGUUGUUUUCUCGAAAAUCAAUUAAAAAGAGUUAGAUUUUGUUGUGUAUUGACCUUAACAGCUUGCAUUUCAAUUUUCUUGCUUUUUUUAAUGCACUUUUCGUUUAACAAGUCAACAUCAGUUUCUUUUGUUGUAAAAAGGUCAUUGGAAGGUGGCUUUCUUUUCGGAGAAAGUGUUUAUAGCCUUUGACUCCUGCAAUCGGAGAGACUGAGGUCUGCAGCGUAGAUCCUUCGGGGUUAGAUACAUUUGUGCUAAGUUAUAGCUUUUUAUAGACAACUUGUUGACUAUGAUUAGUCUUGUAGCUUACUCGCUUAUGCUAUUUUACCUACGCUUAGGAUGUUGACACACGCGCGUGCUCG